RNAcentral lists this long non-coding RNA (8127 nucleotides) under Olea europaea subsp. europaea. Lineage: Eukaryota; Viridiplantae; Streptophyta; Magnoliopsida; Lamiales; Oleaceae. The record is from RNAcentral.
CCGAGUCCCAACCUCGCCUUCUCUGAAACCUAACCCCGAAUCCUGCCUCCUCCCCAAUUUUACUUCUCUGAAACCCCCCCACAGCGAUGGGGAAAGACGAAGAGAACAACGGUUUGAUGAGAAAUACUAAUUGGGGAAAGAGCAUGGCUACAGAUCUAUAGCCGCAGGGAAGCUGGUUCAACUUGAUUACUAGUUCGGAAUUUUUCGCUCCGCUAAUUCGUGCUCGAUCUCUGCGCCGCACCUGGUGGCUGGAUUCAAGUAGCUUUCGAGAAGAUGCUGAUGGGCAUUCUAGUAAUUGGAGUCGACUGCAACUCGAUUCAAUCCAUCGAAGGUGCAUUCUCCGUGCGGGAGAGUACUAGGGCCCCCAAGUAUAAGGACGUUAUUAAGAAACUCAUGGCGGAAGGUGGAUGCGGAGCUUUUGACAUGGUGCUACUCGAUGGCUAUAAGGGUAUUAAUGUCGCGUGGGUUAGGGAGGCCAUCAAUCAGAAUGCUCUAGACUCUAGUUUUUGAUUCCGUUAAGCUUGCUACGGAGGCUUUGGCUGACAAGGGAAGUUUUUUUACCAAGGUAUUGUAAUAUGUAUAUGUUUAAUAAUAUAUCUUGUUCUUAUGUAACUAUGAACGAGGUUAUUUUGAAGCAAUUAAAUGUCACGGCUCGAACCUUCAACAAUGGCAGCUCUUCACUGUAACACAGAGAAUGCACUGAACUUAGCUGAAAUAGCUAAGAUUAUAUCACUAAACAAAGAUAAAAAAGAGAAGGGGAAUAAGAUAAAAGAGAACUUUAGAAGAAAGAGAGGAGAAGUGUUGAACGAUUUCAACCGCCACUGAAAAUAUCAUGUUACCAAAGCUUCCAGAACCAUUUGCCCCCUUUCUGCAUCUAUAGGCUCAGCUGGAAGUCGUAUUACCAAAAAUGAAAUAAAGAAAACGUGUUUCAACAAAACAUAUUACAAUUUCAUUUAAUUCAAAACGGCACCGUAUGACUUUGAAUUCCAGUUGCUCUUCUUGGCUUCUUCUUUCCUUCUUCUAGUUCUGCUUCUUUUCCCUCCCCAAUUACUCUUCACGUGACAACCCUUCACCUCACCUUGAUCUUGUCCCCAAGAUCCACAGUAGGGAAACUGUAGUUUGAUCCAAUCGGUGUCUUCCCAGGUUUCACAAUCUAGAGUAGAAUUUGACCAAUGAAUAAGCCACUGGAUGGUGGUGUUAUUUUUUUACGAGUAAUGGUCCUGGACUGUAAGAUGGAUAAUGGAUGAUAUGUUGGUAGUUUAGACCGAUUCUCAUCAGGCAAUUGAAGUACUGGCAUUGCCCUGUCACCUAACUUCUUCUUGAACAAUGAAACAUGAAAGACUGGAUGAAUUCUGGAGCUGGCAGGAAGUGCCAAUUUGUAUGCCACCGUGCCUAUCUUCUUGGUAAUCUGAUAUGGUCCAAAGUAUCUAGCUCCCAGCUUGUGAUUUAUCCUGUGUUCCACUGAUUAUUGUGUGUAAGGAUGAAGCUUGAGGAAGACCCACUCUCCUUCAUUAAAAGACCUCUCAGAACGCUUCGUGUCAGCAUAUAGUUUCAUCUUUGCUCCUGCUUGUGCUAAGUUUUCUUUCAGCUGUUGAUUUAGUUGGUACCUAUGCUGUAGUAAUUCUUCGACUGCAGCCACAUUGGACUGCUGGUAAAGAUCUAAUGAGAGCUGAGGAGGCUUGAUCCCAUAAAGAGCUUCAAAGGGAGUCAUUCAGAUAGAGGAAUGAUAGGAGGUAUUGUACCACCACUCAGCUAAUGAUAACCACUUACCCCAUUGUUUAGGAUGUUGAAAAGUCAUGCACUGUAGGUACAUUUCAAGGCACUGCUUGAGUCGUUCUGUCUGCCCAUCAAAUUGAGGAUGGUAGGUAGAACUUAAAUGCAGCUGGAUACCCAUGAGUUUAAACAAUUCUUGCCAGAAUUUGCUUGUAAAUAUCUUAUCCUUGUUAGAAAUGAUGUUCUGAGGUAUGCCUUGAAGUUUAAAAAUAGAAUCAAGGAAAUUUUUGGCAAUUGUCACGGCUGUGAAUGGAUGCGGAAGUGCCAAGAAAUGACCAUACUUUGUAAAUCUGUAGACCACCACUAAUAUAGUAUCUUUACCUCCUGAAUUAGGCAAUCCUUCAAUGAAGUCCAUACUAAUGUGGCUCCAAGCAUGUAGAGGCACAGGAAGAGGCUUUAACAAUCCAGGGUAAGGCACAUUCUCCCCUUUACACUUCUGGCAGAUUUCACACUGGAGACGUCAGUUUUGAUGUCUCGGUUCAUGCCAGGCCCGUAAAAAUGUUGCUUUGCUUUGUAGAUGCUGCCAUUAUGCCCUCCUUCUUGAGACCCAUGAAUAUUCUGAAUUAGUUUAGAUUUGAUAUUACCCCCUGAACCUAUGUAUAACCUGCCUUUAUACUUCAAAAUAUUGUUGAGGUAUAGGAAGUCUGGAUCUGCUGUUGAAUUUAAGAUGACUGACUGGAUUUUCUCCCUAGCAAAGUUGUCCUCCUUGUAGCUAUCAAUAACUCUUGUAUCCAAGUGGGAAUAAAAGUGGUGAUUCCCGCACACUCCACCUCUUUCUCAUGCCUCCUUGACAAUGCAUCAGCUACUAAGUUAUCAAUUCCUCGUUUAUACAAUCUUUCAUAACUGAGUCCCAACAAUUUAGUGAGCCAUUGCUGUUGAAGAGGGGUUGUAAUCCUCUGUUCUAAAAGAUAUUUGAGAGAUUGGUGGUCAGUCUUUAUGAUGAAGUGGUGGCCCUCUAAAUAAUGUCUCCAUUUACUAACAGCAGUGACUAAGGCUAGUAGUUCCUUUUCGUAUAUUGACAUACCCCUGUUCCUGAUUCCAAUAGCUUUGCUUAGGUAAGCUAGAGGCCUUCUGCCUUGCAUUAGCACAGCACCAAUUCCACUUUGGCAAGCAUCGGUUUCAAUGAUAAAGGGUUGAUGGAAAUCAGGUAAAGCAAGCACAGGCGUUGAACUCAUGGCUUGUUUUAAUCCUUCAAAGGCUAAAUCUCCAGCCUCUGUCCGUUGAAAAUUGUCUUUCUUAAUCAUAUCUGUUAAUGGCCUGGCUAUCACCCCGUAACUCUUGACAAACUUCCUGUAAUACCCAGUCAACCCUAGGAAGCCCCUCAAUUGUUUGAUAUUCCUAGGUUUAGGCCAUAGCUGCAUUGCUUCCACGUUGCUGGGAUCAGCAGAGACUCCUUCUUUGCUAAUAAUAUGACCUAGGUACUCAACCUUCAAUUGCCCAAAACUGCACUUGGACCUCUUGGCAUAUAGUUGAUGUUUCUAUAAUAUCCCUAUUACUGAUUCUAGAUGUUGGCAAUGAGAGGAUAGAUCAGUGCUGUACACUAAAAUAUCAUCAAAAAAUACUAAGACGUAUCUCCUCAGCUGGUCCUUGAAUACCUCAUUCAUGAGGCUUUGGAAGGUAGCGGGUGCAUUGGUGAGGCUAAAGGGCAUCACCUUGAUCUCAUACAGCCCUUGUUGUGUUUUAAAUGAAGUCUUAUGAACAUCUCUUUCAGUAACCCUUAUAUGAUGAUAACCUGCUCUAAGAUCAUUUUUCGAAAAAAACUUCGCUCCAUGAAGUUCAUCUAAUAGUUCAUCAAUAAGUGGCAUUGGGAAUUUGUCCUUGAUUGUUAAGGCAUUCAACUGCCUGUAAUCAACACAGAAUCUCCAAGUCCCAUCUUUCUUCUUGACAAGGAGUACAGGUGAGGCAAAAGGACUAUUGCUUGCUUGUAUAAUCCCAGAUUCCAGCAUUUCUUUAAUCAACUUUUCUAUCUCUGUCUUCUGAAUGAACGGACACCUGUAGGGUCUUAUUUUAAAAGGCCGGGCACCUUCUUUAAGAGGAAUGUGGUGGUCAUGUGAUCUUGGUGGAGGCAGCCCUUUUGGUUUCUUAAACACCCCCUAGAAUUGAUGGAUUACUUCCAGUAGUUUGCUAGGUACCACCUCUUUGGGUUUUUCCUCUUUAGGGGCAUAUAAUUGUCCCAUAACUCCAUAGUGAUUCUUGUCCAUUAUCCUUUCCAUCGCUUGUGCCUCUAUCAUGUCCACUGAUAAUUUUGAUACUUCAUCUCUGAACUUCACCUCAGUGUUCUGUCUCUUGAACUUCAUAACCCUCAGCAAAAUCAAAUUCAAUAGGGCCAAAUUGGUUCAUCCAAUUCACUCCCAAAACCAUGUCACUUCCUGCCAACUUAAGGGUCCUAAGCUUUUAUUGGAAUUCCCAACUUUGAAUCUUCCGUACCACUGGUUGACAAAUGGCUUUACUUUCUAGUUUAUCCCCAUUUGCUACCCUGACAGUUACUUUGUUGGACUCUUCAGUGUUGUAUUUCAACUCUCUAGCCAAUGUCUCAUCUAAAAAACUAUGAGUGCUCCCAUCGUCUAUUAAGGUGGAUAUUAUUUUUCCCCCGAUGUUUCCUAGUACCUUGAUGAACGAUUUCAACAAUACCACUGAAAAUAUCAGGUUACCAAAGCUUCCAGAACCAUUUGUCCCUUUUCUGUAUCUAUAGGCUCAGCCGGAAGUCGUAUUACCAAAAGAAAAUAAAGAAAACGUGUUUUAACAAAACAUAUUACAAUUUCAUUUAAUUUAAAACGGCACCGUAUGACUUUGAAUUCCAGUUGCUCUUAUUGGCUUCUUCUUUCCUCCUCCUGGUUCUGCUUCUUUUCCCUCCCCAAUUACUCUUCACGUGACAUUAAAAUUGACUCUAAUUCCAGACUUGGAUACUUAAUUAUAGCUUUAAAAGUUUAAUGUUAAUGGUUUAUUGUAUUUAGAACACAUAAGCACUCUAAUAAAUAUUUUAUGUUUGAAAAGGUGAUACUUGCGAAUUAGUUGAUGCAAUUUGUGUAAGCAAUUUGCAAACAUAGGAUUUGAAAGUUUUAGGUGUUUCUGGAAUGAAUUAAGCUAUUUGCAAAGUUGAAGAAAAUUUAUGGAUUUUUGGAGUUUAUUUUGUGCGCCUGCAGGUAAGGUUGUGCAACGGGUGUCAUGUUUCUUACAAGCAAACUAGUGGCUUUCAGUGUUCCUUAUGUCCAUACUUGCAAAUAUAUUGGGUUCAGUGUCAUGUUCCACAAGUGAAUUUGGGUAUCUUGGCUGAAACUUAUUCUGGAUUUGAAUUCCUUUCUAAGUUUUGUACCGUUCUGGUUCCCUGCACGCAUACAAGACAGCAACUGCUGAUGUUUACAUUUAGCUUUUGCAAUCACUAUUUUCUUGGGGUAUUAUGACUGAGGAAAUGUAUUUGUCAAUUUUUGAACCAAGAAUUGUUUCUCUUUGAUCCUCACAUAGACAUUCCCCUCUCAGGGAAACGAAGCUCUUUAGGAUUUAUUAUUUAUUAUGAAAUAUUACGUUGCACUUUUUCUGAUGUGUCUCCAUGUAGCUUCACAAAAUCACUACUCAAGUCAACCUUGUCAAGUUGGAAAUGAAUGCAUGACGUGUCUGUUGUUGCCUUGUAGGUCCUCAGAUCCGAUAUUGUAGUGGUAAACUUUUCUUAGUCAGGUAAUCUUAUUUCCUAUGAAGCGAACCCAAAAGCAUCCGUUCUGAUUGAAGGCACAUUAUCACCUUUGUAUUUGGUAUACAGCUCUUUGAAAAAGUUGAAGUGUGUAACUGAAAAGAUAACUUUAGAGGAGAAUUUUAUGCUGUCGAGUUGAAGUAUAAGGCACCUGCUAAAAUGAUCCUGAUCUUCUAUCCAUAGAGCAUCUGUUACGAGAUAAAGAGCAUCAAAAGGUAGUCCAAUCCCUCCACAUUAUCUGCAUGUUAUCUUUCUAUCUUAUAGAAUCAAUAUGUUCAGGUAGUGGAUGCAUUUAGAGUAAAGAAGCAAAAGCAAUACCGUGAUGAGUAUAUUUUCUUCUCGCUAAUAAUUCAUAAAAUCUGCAACUCUCAGCCAAAAACAUUGUUGCUUGCUUGACAUAUAGAAGAAAAUUUUAGUUUAUAUCUGAGCUCAACUGAAUAUGGUCUUUUUGCGCAUCAUGGAGUAUUGGUGUUGUGAUCACGACAUAUCAAACUAAGCUAGUGUGUAGAGUCUAGAGAAAAAUCUAGUAGAGUGAUCUUUUGCACUUUUAUCCCUUUUGCAGUCUUAUCAAUUCAUCGGGAUAUACCACAUACAUGUUUCUUAAGCUCAUACAGGACAAAUCCUUCACUCAAGCCUACUACUAUCACUAGAUUCCCAGACUGCUAUACGUGUUUAAUAAUAUGAAAUUAUAUCUUAUUGAAAUCCUUUCUACUUACUGCACUCCAACGAAACUUACCUAGACACUCUACGUUAUCUCUUUCUUUCUUUCUUUCUUUUUUUUUUUUUUUUUAUAUAAUCAAUAAAAUUCGUUUGCAAAUCAUGUUUCUUUUGUGUGUAAUUUUUCUUGAAUCUCGUGACUGGGGUUCAUAUAAAUAUAAGUUCAUGUUUUUAUAUAAAAGUAUUUACUAGGUUCACUUUUUAGGCAUGAAGAUGGUAAUGCAACUUUGAGGAAAGUCUGCUCUGUAGGAUUUUGUUUGGUCCAGCUAUUUACUUUAGAAGCUUGGUUUAGUUACUUCUAAAGCUUUUGAGAUGUAUGUAUGUUUAUAUAUUAAGGAUAAAGAUGAAGAGAUGUUGCUUCCUCUUUUGUGAAUUGCUUUCUCUUUUCUUCUAUUUAUAUUCUUAUUAUGCAAGUGUUGUUAUAGUAGCUCUUAUUGUGCUGCUUUUGUAUUUUUGAAUUUUUUUAUUCAUUUGACUCAAGCACGACCCCUAAAAUUCUUUCACAUGACAUGCACGACCCCUAAAAUUCUUUCACAUGACAUACUUCAUCAACUCUGCCUCCCUCUCAUUCCUCUGCUUAACAUCCACCAUCAUCGAUUUAGUGAUCCCUCUCCAUUCUUCUCUCAACUUCUUCAUCCUCCUCUCCUCAUGUCCCCAUAUUCAUUUCCACAUACAUCGUUGCUUCAAUACUCAUAGAUGCAAUCAUCUCCUCCAGUGUUUCAUUUGUUUAUACAAGUCCAUAGCCUCGCACCGUCCAAAGGAUCUCAUUUUUCCCUUAAAAUCAAGGGAAUGCAUGUACUUUGACUACAUCUUCAAAUGUGUGUGAUUGAUUGCCCAUUUUAGCAAUUUUAUCCUCAAAUUUUAGAAGAUCAUCCAUUGUAGAGCGCUCUUUUAGAUUUUAAUGAUAUAGGCAUAAUGAGAGAUUGAAUUUUCAAUGGAUGGUCUUAUAAGAUUUGAGGAUAAAAUUGCUACAACGAGCAAUCAAUCUCACACAUAUGAAGAUUUAGUCAAAGUACAUGCAUUCCCUUGAAUUUAAGGGAAAAAUGCGACCCUUUGGGAUGGUGCGAGGCUAAGGACAUAUAUAGACAAAAUGAAACACUGAAGGAGAUGAUUGCAUCUAUGGGUAUUGAAACAACGGUGUAUGUGGAAAUGAAUCUGGGGGUAGGAGGAGAGAAGAAUGAAGGGGGAUCACUAAAUCGAUGAUGAUGGAUGUUAGGUAGAGGGAGGCAGAGCUGAUGAGGAGGCAGCUGGACACAUAAGUAUGCCGUGAAAUAAUUUUGGGAGUUGCGCUUUAGAAAUGAGUCAAAAUGAAUAAAAAAAAUUAUGAAAGCAGCACUAUAACAACAUUUGCAUAAGAAUAAUAGAAAAGAGAAAGCAAUACAUCUUUAUCCUUAAUGUAUAAACAUGUCAAAGACUUUGGAAAUAACUAAACCAAUCUUCUUAAGUUAAUAUUUGUGCUGCACAUUUUUUGACCAGCAAUCCCACGUCCAAAGAACAAUUUAGGCUCGGUAGGAAAAUUUGGCAUGAAGAUUAACUUACCAAGGCUUUGCAGUUAUUCUCAAAGCAUUCAAUUUAUCCAAGGGAUCAUAAUCUAGUAACAUCAUUUAUGCCUUUCCACGUGCAAUACUCUUUCAGGUGACUAUCUAGAAACUUGCAGAUAUGAGAUGACUGGUUUAGGAUACAAUUCUCUAAGCACCAUGAUGAACAGCUUACUGAGCACCCUUUUCAUGCAUAAUUUUGAGACAAAGGUGCACACAUAUUUUGAAAGCAAGGUAAAUACACCAGAUCACCACCAAGUUUGAAUCGCUUCUAUGUAAGCUAUAAGUCUAGACACAGCUGUAAUUUGAAUAGUAUUUUCAUCUUUAUUCACUUAUGUCUCUUUUCAUUGAACAUUUAGUUAGUUUUCAUCUCGAUGGAAGCAUAAUAUUUCAAGUCGACAAAUUUGCCACCUC